ACUUUUUAAUUUUUUCGUAGAGCAAGAAGAAUAAGAAGAUGAAGAUGAUAAAGGAAAAGAAGAAUGAGAAAAGGAGGAAGAAGAAUAAGAAAAAAGAAGAAGAAAUUGAGAAAGAAAGAAGGCAGUCAAGAAAGAACGAGAAAGAAAGAAAAAGGGGAAGAGAGAGAAAGAGGGGGGUUGUUUAUUUAUUUAUUUAAUUAUUUAUUUUAAUAUUUAAUAUUUUUUAUAUUAAAA
Molecule: long non-coding RNA, 234 nt
Filed under: Capsicum annuum
Lineage: Eukaryota; Viridiplantae; Streptophyta; Magnoliopsida; Solanales; Solanaceae
Description: long non-coding RNA (CANN_LNC001353)
Source: RNAcentral